UACGUAGGAGACGAGCGUUGUCCGGAGUUACUGGGCGUAAAGGGUGCGCAGGUGGCGGCGCGCGUGGGGGGGUGAAAUCGCCCGGCUUAACUGGGCGGGGGGCCUUCCAGACGGCGUGGCUUGAGCAGCGGAGGGGGACGUGGAAUUCCGGGUGGAGCGGUGAAAUGCGUAGAGAUCCGGAGGAACACCGACGGCGCAGGCAGCGUCCUGGCCGCUUGCUGACACUGAGGCACGAAAGCUGGGGGGAGCAAACAGG
RNAcentral lists this ribosomal RNA (256 nucleotides) under uncultured bacterium. RNAcentral describes it as "partial 16S ribosomal RNA". It matches the Rfam family "Bacterial small subunit ribosomal RNA", at positions 524 to 776 of the family's 1533-position model. The record is from RNAcentral.